This 632-nucleotide long non-coding RNA is filed under the name Mus musculus (house mouse). Its description in RNAcentral is "predicted gene, 40975". The record is from RNAcentral. Lineage: Eukaryota; Metazoa; Chordata; Mammalia; Rodentia; Muridae.
UGCAUCAUGCCUGCCUGAACACUGCCAUGUUCCUGAUGAUAAUGGACUGAACCUACAUACAGGCAUCAGCUCCAAAAGAUGACCACCAAACUCUACCCCAUACAGAAUUGUAUCCCCUGUGAGUAACUCAAGUUAUGAGGAGAAACUGGUCAGAAUACAACGGCAGCAUUGGUUUGGGUACUGACAAAGAAGACUAAUCUGCAGGGGUCUAUACAUCACCAUCUGCCACUUGGAAUUUCCAUGACCCAUGAGACUGAACCCCGAGGGAAAGAACUCUGUGAGGCCAAAGUGAAGAAUCUUAUCAACAGGAAAUGGGAUAGCUGAAAGGAAAAGAAACCUUGUGACGGGAGCAUCUUGUCCUCUGAGUGGAUCCACUCAGCAGCUGACUCAGAUACAGACACCCAUAGCCAAACAGUGGAUGGAAUCUGGGGAUUCUUAUGGAAGAAUAGGAGGAAGGAUUAUGAGCCCUGAAGGGGAUAUGAACUCCACCAGAAGACUAACCUGGACCCUUGUGGUGGUUUGGUGAGCAUGGGGAGGUGAGAGGGGACAGGGGAUUUUUGGAGGGGAAACUAGGAAAGGGGAUAACAUUUGAAAUGUAAAUAAAUAAAAUAUCUAAUAAAAAGGAAAAAAAA